AUUGAACGCUGGCGGAAUGCUUUACACAUGCAAGUCGAACGGCAGCACGGACUUCGGUCUGGUGGCGAGUGGCGAACGGGUGAGUAAUGUAUCGGAACGUGCCCAGUCGUGGGGGAUAACGCAGUGAAAAUUACGCUAAUACCGCAUACGAUCUAUGGAUGAAAGCGGGGGAUCGCAAGACCUCGCGCGAUUGGAGCGGCCGAUAUCAGAUUAGGUAGUUGGUGGGGUAAAGGCCCACCAAGCCAACGAUCUGUAGCUUGUCUGAGAGGACGACCAGCCACACUGGAACUGAGACACGGUCCAGACUCCUACGGGAGGCAGCAGUGGGGAAUUUUGGACAAUGGGCGAAAGCCUGAUCCAGCCAUUCCGCGUGCAGGAUGAAGGCCCUCGGGCUGAAAACUGCUUUUGUACAGAACGAAAAGGUUUCUACUAAUACUAGGAGCUCAUGACGGUACUGUAAGAAUAAGCACCGGCUAACUACGUGCCAGCAGCCGCCGUAA
RNAcentral lists this ribosomal RNA (500 nucleotides) under uncultured bacterium. RNAcentral's name for it is "partial 16S ribosomal RNA". It matches the Rfam family "Bacterial small subunit ribosomal RNA", at positions 30 to 523 of the family's 1533-position model. The record is from RNAcentral.